GAGAUGGUGUCUUUUGGAGUACACCUUUAUUUCUCCAAGUCACUCUUGCCUAGGUCUGACAAGAGUCCUCAGGCCAUGGUGUGACAAACCAAGGGAUCUAAAGCUGUCAACAGCUACUGUUUUUAUAAUAUUCAAAAAAAAAAAAAACCUCAGUAGAAACCACUUGAUAAAAUAUGUGUGUUUCUUCCCAUAGCAAAUGGGAAAGAAGUAAUUUUCUUUUGUUCAUCUCAUUAAUCUAUAAUAACAUAUCAGCUCAAGAAUAAAAUAAUCGUUAUCCCUCUAUUAUUAUACUGUAAAUGAAACAAUGUACAUUGAAAAUAUAGCAUACUUGGGAUAGUUAAUAUUAUCAACAAGGUCUAGGGUCAGUCAGUGAGGAGUGCCUCUGAGCAUAGCUGUGAGGGAUUGCUUAGAUCCGAUAAGCUUUAACCAGUGGGCCUGAGAAAUGGUUUUUCUUUAUUAUGAUAACUCAAGUGUGGAGAAAUACACUGCCUGUGAGUGGCACUUUCCAGCAUAGACCCAAAUACAAGGAGGUUUGAUAGAAGACUUUGGUUUGUUGGGUUAUCACAUCUUUGCUCACAAGUCCUCUACUCUGUUGAUGCUGUCCUGUACUCAUGUGAGAACCUGCUUUUUUUUCUUUUCUUUUUUCUUUCUUUAUUUCUUUCUUUUUUUUUUUUUAACUUUCCAAUGUUCACUGAGGACCUGCUAACUUCCAGAAAUCCCCCAGGCAUAGCUCUAGAUUGAGACUUGAAAGGCAUCCAGCCUUGUAGAUGGAUGGUUCUCAGGUUCAUGGAAACAGACGUUUUGGGGUACCCUUUCCUUGUCAUGUAGCCACUCUAAUAAAUUCCAUUAUAAAAUAUGUUCAUUUGUCUCUUCUAUACCUCUAAAAAAACCCUAAAAACAACAUGUUCUUUUUAUAAAGCUCAGGCCUCCCUCUCUUCUCUAUGCAACAGAUGUUUGAGCAGAGAGGAACAUCUGGAACAUCAGUGUUGUCCAUUAAGUUCACAUAAUGGGUUCACUGUUGGUUGUACGUGUUGGGUUUAGAGCUGACUGGACAGAUGCAAAAUAUCUCUUAGAAGUGAAAGCUGAGAAUGAGGAGAUCCGUGCCAUAAGGCAUCAUUCCCACCAACCGCCACAGAACCCAUAGAGCAGAUUGUUACCAGUACAGUGGGUGCAUCUAUCAAGUCCUGCAUUUAUAUGUAUGUCAAUUAAACAUUUGUAAACAUAGAGAAAACUGAAGCUCCGGGGAUUUUUCUAGCACAAAACAGUUCAGAAAAUUCAGAUAGAAAUUUGAAAUAAAAAAAAAGUUGGAAUAAUUAUAGCCUUCUUUCCUUUGCAUUUUCUAGUUCACAAAAAAAUCUGCUGAGGGUAUGGCUUAUGGUGAUGGCCUGAAACUGAAAUGCCUGCUCUGUAACUGAUAUCAGUAUUUUAUUUAUUGAAGAUAUUCUCUAGAAACAUGGUUUAAAUAGGCCUAUAAUAAUUAGCUAAUUUAGUGGCAUUUGGUUGGUUAUUUUACCAUUUCAUAUAUAAAGGUGAUCAAUUCUAUUUAAAUAGAAUUCCAUAAUAAAUGCAUUUAUGAUGCUGUUUUUAAAAAGAUAUUUAAUAGUGUUUUAUUUAUAGGCAAUAAUAGUAAUAAUAAUAAUACCUUCUUUUAUUACAUAGUUUAACUGAGAAGAUGAAAGAAA
RNAcentral lists this long non-coding RNA (1682 nucleotides) under Mus musculus (house mouse). RNAcentral's name for it is "long non-coding RNA chr13:117831310-117832992". The record is from RNAcentral. Lineage: Eukaryota; Metazoa; Chordata; Mammalia; Rodentia; Muridae.